This 304-nucleotide unclassified non-coding RNA is filed under the name plant metagenome. Its description in RNAcentral is "partial contains 5.8S ribosomal RNA, internal transcribed spacer 2, and large subunit ribosomal RNA". The stretch from base 1 to 105 matches the Rfam family "5.8S ribosomal RNA", at positions 50 to 154 of the family's 154-position model. The record is from RNAcentral.
GAAAUGCGAUAAGUAGUGUGAAUUGCAGAAUUCAGUGAAUCAUCGAAUCUUUGAACGCACAUUGCGCCCCUUGGUAUUCCAUGGGGCAUGCCUGUUCGAGCGUCAUUUGUACCUUCAAGCUUUGCUUGGUGUUGGGUGUUUGUCUCGCCUCCGCGCGUAGACUCGCCUCAAAACAAUUGGCAGCCGGCGUAUUAUUUUCGGAGCGCAGUACAUCUCGCGCUUUGCACUCAUAACGACGACGUCCAAAAGUACAUUUUUACACUCUUGACCUCGGAUCAGGUAGGGAUACCCGCUGAACUUAAGC